This is a non-coding RNA of Salvia hispanica, 1285 nucleotides long. Lineage: Eukaryota; Viridiplantae; Streptophyta; Magnoliopsida; Lamiales; Lamiaceae. The record is from RefSeq and is a predicted model, not a curated record.
AGUUCAGAUUCAUUUAAUCUAAGGCUUGGAUUUUGUAUUACAAAACGAUAAAUUCAAACAGCAAUGAGAGCAGCAGAACGCAGCUCCCAUCUAAAUCUAAAUCCCCAAAUUUUAAACAGACAAGCGACAAUUGUGUGAUUGAGCAAAAGCAACCCAAACAAGAAGAUGAAGAAUUUCUACGGCUUUUGUUGCCUAAUCUGGACGAAUUGCCGCAAGUUCCCCCUUCCUCUAUUGAAGCCAAUUUCACAACUUUUUUCGCUCCAGAUUUGAUGAAGCCUGGACAUGAUCAAUAUGUUCAUCGUCAUGCCAAUGGCUAUGUGUAAUUGGUUUGGCUCCGCACCACGUGGCUUUGAAGAAGAAUGGGGGGAUUGUUUCGGUCGAUUUUAAUGUUGGGAAAUUGGACCUUAGCGGAAUUAAAGUCGCUGGAAAGCGCAAAAAGAAUGCACAGCAUUUUGAAUCCAACACGGCUUUAUAUAAAGUGUUGACUGCUGAGGGUUCUUACAUAAUGUUGUGUAAAAGGGCCUCUAUUGGAAGUGAAUGAUAGGCUAAUCAAGCAACCGGAAUUGCUUAACACGAUGAUAGGUGAAUUUGUGUCAUCUUCAAUGGCUAUCCAUUCCCUCAAGCUACGCUUGUUUUUGUGAUCACUCUUAAAGUUCUUGGUUCCUAUCUCCUAGAAGCUUUUGAAUUGUCCAUAGAAGUUGAACAAAAAAAAAAACAGUACGUUGAACAACAUAACGGGGUUCUGUGUUGCUUGCUGCAUUAGGAUUGGAAAAUGGAAAUGGUAACAGAUAGGCAUGCUUGAUUCUUAAAAUACUUAAUAAUGGGUAUUGCUUCUUUAGAUCUCCAAGAUCAUUAAAUGUAUUUAGCCAAAUUCAGUUUAUUUUUCAGUCCAUCCAUGAUCAUUCAUUAGUAACACUAUCAUCUGUGACUGUAGCCAGAGGGAGAGGGGUAUGUUGCAAUUAUGAUGCCAAGACCUGCAGAUUGGCUCAAAGCCAAGGCCUCUCUGCUGGACUUUGAAAGCUAUAAGAAGCUGAGAACGAAGCAGUGAGUUGAUUUAUGCUCGCCAAUCCUUGCUUCCUUCGAUGUAAGUCAUGAGGGGUUGUUGCAACAAACUGCAUUGUCAGCCUUUUGAAAAUGUGGAUGGAAUUUGUAACUCUAUCUGAUUACUUGAUAUAAAAAAAGUGAUCAAACAUUAUCCUUCUUUCCUAAUUUAUUUAUUUUGUACUUUGUAACAUUAUCUGUAACUCUAAUGCUACCUCGUUUAAGGGACUUAAACAGAUAUAUA